RNAcentral lists this ribosomal RNA (477 nucleotides) under uncultured bacterium. RNAcentral describes it as "partial 16S ribosomal RNA". It matches the Rfam family "Bacterial small subunit ribosomal RNA", at positions 28 to 506 of the family's 1533-position model. The record is from RNAcentral.
GAUGAACGCUGGCGGCGUGCUUAACACAUGCAAGUCGAACGGGAAACCUUUUAUUGAAGCUUCGGCAGAUUUAGCUGGUUUCUAGUGGCGGACGGGUGAGUAACGCGUGGGUAACCUGCCUUAUACAGGGGGAUAACAACCAGAAAUGGUUGCUAAUACCGCAUAAGCGCACAGGACCGCAUGGUCCGGUGUGAAAAACUCCGGUGGUAUAAGAUGGACCCGCGUUGGAUUAGCUAGUUGGCAGGGUAACGGCCUACCAAGGCGACGAUCCAUAGCCGGCCUGGGAGGGUGAACGGCCACAUUGGGACUGAGACACGGCCCAGACUCCUACGGGAGGCAGCAGUGGGGAAUAUUGCACAAUGGGGGAAACCCUGAUGCAGCGACGCCGCGUGAAGGAAGAAGUAUCUCGGUAUGUAAACUUCUAUCAGCAGGGAAGAUAGUGACGGUACCUGACUAAGAAGCCCCGGCUAACUACGU